Molecule: ribosomal RNA, 288 nt
Filed under: Triticum aestivum (bread wheat)
Lineage: Eukaryota; Viridiplantae; Streptophyta; Magnoliopsida; Poales; Poaceae
Description: partial small subunit ribosomal RNA
Source: RNAcentral
AUGAGGAUUUCAUCUUUGACGCUACUCCUAACCCUUGCCUUUCUUGUGCUAGCAUCAAAUGCGAAAACAAAACCAGGUUGUACGGUCGUAUACUUGAAGAAGUUUGGUGGGUACUUGAUUGGUGGUUGUGAGGACGAUUGCCACAAGAAGUAUAAGGCGACCAUUCACUGCUCUGACGAUAUGGCGUGCGCUUGGCAAGCCGAUAUUGAUGGCAGCAGGUGUAAGUGCUCAAUGUGCAUAUUCUCCUCCAAGGCUCCAGCAGAGGAAACUGUGAUGUUAACUAGCUAA